This 915-nucleotide long non-coding RNA is filed under the name Homo sapiens (human). RNAcentral's name for it is "non-protein coding lnc-CXCL12-1:2". The record is from RNAcentral. Lineage: Eukaryota; Metazoa; Chordata; Mammalia; Primates; Hominidae.
CUGGAGGCCAGGGCUGAGGGAAGGCCUGGAGCAGAGCCGGUGCGCGACCUCGCAGUGAGCAGGGAGGGCAGGCUGGGGACGUUCACCACCCAGAACGCCUCUGCUCCCCGCAACCCUGAGACUCCAGGCUCCCCUGUUCCUCCCUCCGGGAGACCCUGCCCGUCCUCCCCGCGGGGCUCCUUCGCAGUUCGGGGGAAGGGACGGGUUGCGUCCUCGGGACCUUUCUCUGCAGCCACAGCAGCGCAUCCCAGCACCUCCUCCAGGAGCCCCGCCACCUCCUGCCACCCGGACUUUCCCCACAGCGCAGCGUCCCCUCGUCCUCUCAGGGCUGGAACAGCGGUACCCGCAGACAGUGCAAAAGGGAAGUCCCUGUUGCCUUCCCAUGCAAACUGUAGGGCGCUUACAGCUGCUGGGAGAGGAAAGGAAAGAAGAAAUACAAGCCUGUGACCCGGAUCCAACCCGCGGCGCACAGACCCCGGCUCUGGGCACCCCUGGUGAGCGCCUUCUGCGCCAGAGCUCCGUACAGCACCAGCCCGCGCUCUCCCCCAGCUUCUGUUCAUUUGCUGCAGUCCUGACGGGUCAGUUGCCUGAGCAUCCAUGCUGCCAUCCAUACAAACCCAGGCACGCAGAGAUGUACAUCCUUUACCCAGGGUGACACCAUGUGGAGCUGAAUCCAAGUCCGGGAGUCUGAUGACCGUGUCUGGGCUCUGACCGCGCAGCCGUCUCACAGUGAAACAAAUUGCGGACUGGCCUUGUCCUGAGUGGCCUUAGGAAGCUGCAGUGGCCUGCAGUCUCCUGGCCAGUCUGUAGAAUUUGGCAAAGAUGAGGCACCUUAUAGCCUUACAUGUUCUUAUUUUUCUUUCCUUUUCUCUUCUUUAUUUUCUUUUUUAAGGAUUUGAAUUAGUAUAUGUAAAG